This 1548-nucleotide long non-coding RNA is filed under the name Physcomitrium patens. RNAcentral's name for it is "long non-coding RNA (PPAT_LNC004210)". The record is from RNAcentral. Lineage: Eukaryota; Viridiplantae; Streptophyta; Bryopsida; Funariales; Funariaceae.
AACUAUACAAGAUUUAAUGAAUCUUUUGAACUAGGUUGAUCAUUUAUGCUCUUACAAUUUUUUAAAAUAAUAUAUUGAUUUUAAAAAUUACAUGUAUAUUCUAUAAGUAAAUUAAUAUCAAAUGUGUAUGUUUACACACACACUUACUCACAAAGACACCCAAAUGCACAAUAAAUUAACCAAUACAACCAUAAUAGUAAUUUCCCCUUCUUUGUUUAAUUAUUGUUUUUAAUUUUCAAUUAUUCUGAGGUUGUGUGUGUAAAAUCAGUGAUUUUCUCGUUAGUUAUGCAUAGACUGUGAGAGGAAAGGUACAAGUUAUAUCUCCCACAAGUCUAAUCAGCGGCCCUAGAUGAUGUAGGACAGUUGAUAAAGUCUUUUGAAUAUUUGGAAAAUCUAGAGAAAAUUCAAGAAAGCGAUUUGCAACUUUCAAUAAUAAUGGAGAAAAACACAACCAGGCUUUUACAUUGAAAAAUAUAUUAUAACAAAUAAAUAAAUAAAUAAAUAAAUAAACCUACAAAUAAAUAGGCUGAGCUGGCAAGCCAAGCAAUCUGGGCUGGAGUGAGUACCUUUCAUUUGGUGUUGCCAGUGGUCCUUUCUUGCCAAGCUUGUGUUAACUUAUGGUAACCCUACAGCUCAUUGUUGACUUCGUUUCCACACCACUCUACAGCACCUCCAAAAAAAAACAUAUAUAUAUAUAUAUAUAUAUAUAUAGAUACCCACCCCACUAUAAAUCUAUUCUAUGCACAAACUUUGCCCAUUCUAAUCAGUGCAAGAACCAGAAAACUGGAUGGUCAAAGUGUUUUACAUUCCAAUCAGAAACUGAAUUGGAUUAAUUCAUCUACAUGUAUGUUUGUGUAGAUUACCCAUAAACAAACUACUCCACUUCGAAGAAAUCCAAUGCGGUGGAUUCAUACCAUGGCGCUGAAGCAUGAAAAAUGUAGAAGAUUCAGAUUACAAGGCUUUUUUUCUGCUUCAGUUGUGGACCAAAGGAAUUCCAAAUCCCCUGCACUAAUUGACAGUUACCUGCGACGUGGUUACAGCAGCACCACACAAAGUGCGUGAGGUCGAAAUCCAACAUCCAGUAGUUGAUUAUUCACAAGAGGGGCUUGAAACCAAAGAACCAGAUCAGUGUGUUUUUCCAAGACAAGUCACGGUGUUGUGUUUUUAGAGUUAGAACGAUGGUGGUUACGCUGGUGAGGUUGCUCUUUUUCGAAGUGGGUUCACCUUGCAGUAAAAAACGCUGAUUCUGUGAGGAAGCAACGGAGGAAAGUCUACACAUACGAGACCAAAGCGACAAAAUCAUCGAGCCAGCCCCCGGCUUAGAAGAAUCUACUGUAGAGAUUAUAUCUUGGCCCUAGUACCGUGUACCGAUUCGGGUUAGGAAUGCCCCCACUUUAGUAAUCAAUAAAGCUCCCCAGCAAAUAGUGACACAGGGGCGCUUUUUCUCUUGCUUUAAGCAGUUUAUUUGAUUGCAAUAAGCUGAUGAAACCGCAACGUGAUCCCUCACGAAGCUCACACAACUUCUGCAGGGCGAGGAUCAGACCCACU